Molecule: ribosomal RNA, 290 nt
Filed under: uncultured bacterium
Lineage: Bacteria
Description: partial 16S ribosomal RNA
Rfam family: Bacterial small subunit ribosomal RNA
Source: RNAcentral
GACGAACGCUGGCGGCGUGCUUAACACAUGCAAGUCGAGCGAGGCCCAAGCAGUGGCAACACUGUGGAAGGCCUAGCGGCGAACGGGUGAGUAACACGUGAGCAACCUGCCCCGAAGUCUGGAAUAACACCGGGAAACCGGUGCUAAUGCCGGAUGCCCCCACCGGCCGCAUGACCUGGUGAGGAAAGGACCAUGCCUGAUAAGUAGUGGGUGGCUUCGGGAGGGGGCGUCGCGGGCUAUCAGCUAGUUGGUGAGGUAACGGCUCACCAAGGCGUCGACGGCUAGCUGGU